UACGAGAACCCCAAGCGUUAUCCGGAAUCAUUGGGCGUAAAGGGUAGGUAGGUGGUCUCAUUUGUCUGGGGUGAAAGCCUCGAGCUUAACUCGAGAAGUGCCCCGGAAACGGUGAGACUGGAGUAUUGGAGAGGGUCGUGGAAUUCCCGGUGUAGCGGUGAAAUGCGUAGAGAUCGGGAGGAACACCAGAGGCGAAGGCGGCGACCUGGACAAUUACUGACACUCAACUACGAAAGCGUGGGGAGCAAACAGG
This 253-nucleotide ribosomal RNA is filed under the name uncultured bacterium. RNAcentral's name for it is "partial 16S ribosomal RNA". It matches the Rfam family "Bacterial small subunit ribosomal RNA", at positions 524 to 776 of the family's 1533-position model. The record is from RNAcentral.